UAGAAUGGUCUAUCCUACGGAAUACCCCGC
Molecule: non-coding RNA, 30 nt
Filed under: Bombyx mori (domestic silkworm)
Lineage: Eukaryota; Metazoa; Arthropoda; Insecta; Lepidoptera; Bombycidae
Source: RNAcentral